UGAUUAGUAAGCCCUCGAAGGAUGCUUUU
RNAcentral lists this non-coding RNA (29 nucleotides) under Mus musculus (house mouse). The record is from RNAcentral. Lineage: Eukaryota; Metazoa; Chordata; Mammalia; Rodentia; Muridae.